RNAcentral lists this ribosomal RNA (492 nucleotides) under uncultured bacterium. Its description in RNAcentral is "partial 16S ribosomal RNA". It matches the Rfam family "Bacterial small subunit ribosomal RNA", at positions 29 to 507 of the family's 1533-position model. The record is from RNAcentral.
AGUGAACGCUGGCGGUAGGCCUAACACAUGCAAGUCGAACGGCAGCACAGUAAGAGCUUGCUCUUACGGGUGGCGAGUGGCGGACGGGUGAGGAAUACAUCGGACUCUACUUUUUCGUGGGGGAUAACGUAGGGAAACUUACGCUAAUACCGCAUACGACCUACGGUUGAAAGCGGUGGAUCUUCGGACCUUGCGCGAUUGAAUGAGCCGAUGUCGGAUUAGCUAGUUGGCGGGGUAAAGGCCCACCAAGUCGACGAUCCGUAGCUGGUCUGAGAGGAUGAUCAGCCACACUGGAACUGAGACACGGUCCAGACUCCUACGGGAGGCAGCAGUGGGGAAUAUUGGACAAUGGGCGCAAGCCUGAUCCAGCCAUACCGCGUGGGUGAAGAAGGCCUUCGGGUUGUAAAGCCCUUUUGUUGGGAAAGAAAAGCAGCAGGUUAAUACCCCGCUGUUCUGACGGUACCCAAAGAAUAAGCACCGGCUAACUUCGUG